This is an RNA transcript of Cercocebus atys (sooty mangabey), 5551 nucleotides long. It is a transcript of the gene named cilia and flagella associated protein 70, with no coding region annotated. The record is from RefSeq and is a predicted model, not a curated record. The transcript has 29 exons. NCBI's taxonomy places the organism in Eukaryota, Metazoa, Chordata, Mammalia, Primates, Cercopithecidae.
GUUUAUAAUGUUUCUUUAUUCACAUAAACAAAAAUUUUAAAUUUUGACUCUGGUAACUCUAUAUCCUAAGCAAAGAACUUCCCAGGUAGAGUGGCUAUGUGUAGGUAUAUAUUUUAAUAAUUUGUUUUGAAAUGAUCUCAAAUGUAUACAAAAGUUGCCCAAAUCGUGUAAGGAAGUCCCAUGUCCCCUGCACUCAGAUUCCCAAAUAGUUAACACUUUAUUGCACUUGUUUCAUUGCUCACUGUGUGUGUAUGCGUACAUGUGUGCAUGCAUGUGCAUAUGUGUAUGUACAUGUGUAUGUAUCCCUUGUUAGUCUUUUUCUGGACCUUUUGAGAGUCAAGAGAGCAAAUUGUAGAGAUAGUUUCUCAUCACUCCUGAACACACCAGUGUUUAUUUUCCCCUAAACAGGGACACUCUCCUACCUAACAACAAACAAACUUCCUUAUCAGGGAUUCAAUAUUGGUACAACAUACCAUCCAGUUCAGACGAGAUCGGGCAUGUUCGCGGUGGUAUGUGAUUCACAGAGCUAAUUCACAUUUUGCCAACUGUCCUAACAAUGUUGUUUUCCUUUCUGGUCCAGAAUGCUAUACAGAGAUACAUAUUGCAUUUAGUUGUCAUAUAACCUCAGUCAGAGACAGUUCCCAGUCUUUCCUGUCCUUGGAUGGUCUACAACCUGAGUUCCUUUGAUGGUAGGAAAACCAAAAGGGAUACUUUGUGGAUUUUAGUGUGUUUCACCAGGAGGCUCACAAUGUAGACUCCUCCCAACACUGAUGAUGUUAACCAUGAUCACCUGAUCAUGUUGGUUGCUUCCAUUCAGUGUUUUCCCCUCUGAAAUCGAGUAGUAUUCCAUGGGAGAAGCAUUCCAAAAUCACCCAGUAUUCUAUGCCUCACAGAACAUCUACCCACCAGCCUUAGCGUCCACUGAACACUCCUGCCUGAGUCAUCCUCCUCAGUAGUUGUCAAAUGGUAGUUCUCUAUUUCCAUCCUUCUUGCUACACUUCUGUGUUGGCAUCCUACUUCGAAGGAGUUUUCCUGUUUCUCUAUAUCAACACGGACUUGCAUAUUCAAUGGAUUGUAAUCCGUUAUGGUCGUUGUUUACUUCAUGCUCAAAUUGUCCCUCAUUUGGCCCAAGGGAGUCCCUUCAAGCUGGCUCUUAAUACUGCAACAAUUUAAAGUAUACAUAUUGCUAAAAUUCAUCUGCGUUGUGCAGUUCAUUAACUUUGACUGCCUGUAAUAUGCCUCUUUGUGAAUAUGCCACAGUUUAUUGGUCCACUCAUCCACUAUUCCGUCGACGGGCACUUGGGUUGUUUCCAGGUUGUUGCUAUUGUGUUUUGCUAUUUUAGCUCUUUAAUGUUAAAUUUUGAAUAUGAAAAGUUUGUAUUAACAUCAUAAACUUCAGGUCUGUUUAUUGUACAAAUAUUGAGCACCUAGGAGCAGGGUCAUUUUGCACUCUCAUCAACAGUGCGUGACAGGCUCAUUUUUAAAAUGUUGCAUAUUUCACGCAGAAAUAUUUAAAUGAUGUUUUCAAAUCAGUUUAAUAAAGGCCUUUUUCUUUAAACUUCCUUAUGCUUUUUUCCCUACUAUUACGGAGAAAUAUUGAAAUAAAAGAGUCCAGAAAGCAAAAUGUAAAGAUGGAAACCUGUGCACUUAACCCAAACGCUUGCCAAGGUAAAGCAUCCGCAGAAACAGCAGGGACUCGAAAUGACGGGGCUACAGCCGGCGCUAGGGCGCAGGCGCAGAAGCUCAGGGUCGCGCUCCCUGCUGUCGUCCCCAGAGGGUUAUCGCGAGUCUUGGAAUAAACUUGCUGCGAUUGACAAAAGUAAGUUCUCGCGAGAGGUAGUUGGUUGCUAUAGUUGUCAAAAACAUAACUGAGGCUGCUGCAGAGACCAAAGAAAACCAGAGGGACUUUUCCCAGUUGGUGAUAUGGAGCAAGUGCCAUCAACAGGCAGAUUCGUGCAGAUCACCGUGACAGAGGGAUAUGAUUUGAAAGGUUUUAAAGGAGAUACUCCAGUUACCUUUAUUCGGGCAGAAUUCAAUCAAGUGGUUCUGGGAGACUCUGCAAAAACUACUGUUUCUCCAGAAGGAAGUGCAAAAUACAACUUCACUAGCAGUUUUGAGUUUAAUCCUGAAGGAGGAAUCACUUUAGAUGACCUCGCUCACAAACCUGUGUUCUUAACUGUGACUGAAGUUUUACCAAAGGAAAAGAAACAGAAAGAAGAGAAGACCUUAAUUCUUGGUCAGGCGGUGGUGGAUCUUCUUCCCUUACUGGAAGGACAGAGUUCAUUUCAAACAACAGUUCCAUUGCACCCUGUGCAAGGCUCACCCUUAGAAACUCCUAGAUCAAGUGCUAAGCAGUGCAGUCUUGAAGUUAAAGUAUUAGUGGCAGAGCCUUUACUGACCACAGCCCAGAUCUCAGGGGGCAAUCUACUAAAGGUCACGUUGGAGGCUGCUUACUCUGUGCCUGAAUCCUUCAUUCCAACAGGUCCUGGGCAGAACUACAUGGUCGGUCUGCAAGUUCCAUCACUUGGAGAGAAGGACUAUCCCAUUUUAUUUAAGAAUGGAACUCUGAAGCUUGGAGGGGAAAGAGAACCUGUUCCCCGGCCCAAAAAGUGGCCAAUUGCCAACAUUCUGGCUCCAGGAGCUAAUAACAUUCCUGAUGCAUUCAUUGUUGGUGGUCCCUAUGAAGAAGAAGAAGGAGAACUCAACCAUCCUGAGGACAGUGAAUUUAGGAAUCAAGCAGAGUGCAUAAAGAAAAGGAUUAUUUGGGACUUGGAAAGUCGCUGCUACCUUGAUCCUUCUGCAGUGGUCAGUUUUCAGAAGCGAAUUGCCGAUUGCCGGCUUUGGCCUGUAGAGAUCACAAGAGUUCCUCUGGUCACUGUACCCAAAGGGAAAGCUGGCAAAACUGAAAAGACUGAUGAAGAAGGUCAGCUUUCGUUUCAUGGUGUGGCUUAUGUUAAUAUGGUCCCAUUGUUGUAUCCAGGUGUGAAGAGAAUUCGGGGAGCUUUUCAUGUUUACCCUUACCUGGACAGCGUAGUCCAUGAAAAGACCAAAUGUUUACUGAGCUUGUUCCGGGAUAUUGGCCAUCACUUGAUUCAUAAUAAUAAAAUAGGAGGAAUUAAUUCUCUGCUGUCCAAGCAAGCUGUUUCUAAGAAUCUGAAAGAAGAUAAACCAGUGAAAGAAAAGGAUAUAGAUGGAAGGCCUAGGCCUGGGGAUGUGCAGGCACCUAGUAUAAAAUCUCAGAGCUCAGAUACUCCUUUGGAAGGUGAACCCCCUCUAAGUCACAAUCCUGAAGGACAGCAAUACGUAGAAGCAGGGACAUACAUUGUGUUGGAAAUUCAGCUGGACAAAGCUUUGGUUCCAAAGCGAAUGCCAGAGGAGCUAGCCAGAAGGGUCAAGGAAAUGAUUCCUCCAAGGCCUCCUCUUACCCGUCGGACAGGAGGAGCUCAGAAGGCAGUGAGUGACUACCACACACAGAUCAAGAAUAUUUCUAGAGCCAUUCUAGAUGAAUACUACAGAAUGUUUGGAAAACAGGUGGCCAAACUGGAGAGUGAUAUGGAUAGUGAAACCUUGGAGGAGCAGAAGUGCCAGCUCAGCUAUGAACUUAAUUGCUCUGGAAAAUACUUUGCUUUCAAAGAACAACUCAAGCAUGCUGUGGUAAAGAUUGUGAGAGAGAAAUACUUGAAGACAACAUCAUUUGAAAGUCAGGAGGAACUGCAGACAUUUAUCAGUGAGCUCUAUGUGUUCUUAGUAGAUCAGAUGCAUGUAGCCCUAAACCAGACCAUGCCAGAUGAUGUCCAAGGCACUAUUGCAACCAUUUUUACAAGCAGUGAACAGCUUCGACUCUUUGCAUUUGAAGCAGAAGUCAAUGAGAACUUUGAGAUGGCAGCAGCAUAUUAUAAAGAGAGAUUGGUCCGUGAGCCCCAGAAUCUGGAUCACUGGUUGGACUAUGGUGCCUUCUGCCUCCUAACUGAAGACAACAUCAAAGCACAAGAGUGUUUUCGGAAAGCUCUUUCCCUCAACCAGAGUCAUAUCCACAGCUUGUUGCUGUGUGGUGUCCUGGCUGUCCUGUUGGAGAACUAUGAGCAAGCAGAAAUUUUCUUUGAGGAUGCUACUUGCUUGGAACCAACUAAUGUUGUAGCCUGGACUUUACUUGGUUUGUACUAUGAAAUUCAAAACAAUGAUAUUCGAAUGGAAAUGGCAUUUCAUGAGGCCUCCAAACAGCUUCAGGCACAGAUGCUUCAGGCACAAGUAACAAAGCAAAAGAGCGCUGGUGUUGUAGAAGACAUUGAGGAAAGAGGGAAGAGAGAAUCUAGUUUAGGCCCUUGGGGAAUCACAAAUGGUUCUGCAACAGCAAUCAAGGUGGAAGCCCCAGCAGGACCAGGAGCUGCAUUAUCUAUUCUAGACAAAUUUCUUGAAGAAUCCUCCAAACUGCAGUCUGAUUCACAAGAACCCAUUUUGACUACACAAACUUGGGAUCCAAGUAUAAACCAAAAACCAUCUAACACAUUUAUCAAGGAGAUACCAACAAAGAAAGAAGCAUCAAAAUGUCAAGAUUCAUCAGCUUUUCUGCAUCCCGGCCUUCAUUAUGGUGUUUCUCAAACUACCACCAUCUUCAUGGAGACCAUACGUUUCUUGAUGAAAGUCAAGGCUGUGCAGUAUGUGCACAGAGUGCUUGCACAUGAGCUGUUAUGCCCUCAAGGAGGCCCCAGCUGUGAAUAUUACUUGGUGCUGGCCCAGACACACAUUCUUAAGAAGGACUUUGCCAAGGCAGAGGAAUACCUUCAACAAGCAGCCCAGAUGGACUACCUGAACCCCAAUGUCUGGGGCCUGAAGGGCCAUCUCUAUUUUCUGAGUGGAAAUCAUUCUGAGGCCAAAGCAUGCUAUGAACGAACCAUUAGCUUUGUAGUGGAUGCUUCUGAGAUGCACUUCAUCUUCCUGCGGCUGGGGCUCAUCUAUCUGGAAGAGAAAGAGUAUGAAAAGGCAAAGAAAACCUACAUGCAAGCCUGUAAGAGAUCACCUUCAUGCCUUACCUGGCUAGGACUGGGAAUCGCCUGCUAUCGGUCUUCAAAGAGGCAAACAUCGUCUUGUUCCUGCCUAAUUUCUUCAGCUGGAGGAGCUCACAGAGGCUGAGGAUGCUCUCUCUGAAGCCAAUGCACUGAACAACCACAAUGCUGAAGUAUGGGCAUAUCUGGCUCUGGUCUGCCUGAAAGUUGGGCGGCAAUUAGAAGCUGAGCAGGCCUACAAGUACAUGAUUAAGCUGAAAUUGAAAGAUGAGGCUCUGCUUGCAGAGAUCCACACACUACAGGAAACAGUUGGCUUUGGAAAUCCAUCUUUCUGAUACCCCUCCAGCUGAACAAUUUUCCGUAUGGGACUCUUGAGUUCCUUUCCUUCCCAGAUAGUUUCACCAUAUGAAGUCUGGAGCUGGAGAACGAAAGAAUCUUCACCAUAAACAGAGACCCAUUCAUUUAUUUCCAUUGGCUGUGUUACUGGAUGUUUUACUGGUUGACAAGAAACUGGGUCACAAUAAAAAAUGAAGAUAUGAAACUCAAAA